Molecule: ribosomal RNA, 311 nt
Filed under: uncultured Acidobacteriota bacterium
Lineage: Bacteria; Pseudomonadati; Acidobacteriota
Description: bacterial SSU rRNA
Rfam family: Bacterial small subunit ribosomal RNA
Source: RNAcentral
ACGCUGGCUCCGUGCCUAACACAUGCAAGUCGAACGAGAAAGUGGAGCAGUCCAUGAGUACAGUGUCGUACGGGUGAGUAACACGUGACUAACCUACCCUCGAGUGGGGAAUAACCUCGGGAAACCGGGGCUAAUACCGCAUAACAUCUACGGAUCAAAUGCGCAAGCAGCUUGAGGAGGGGGUCGCGGCCGAUUAGUUAGUUGGCGGGGUAAUGGCCCACCAAGGCAAUGAUCGGUAGCCGGCCUGAGAGGGCGCACGGCCACACUGGAACUGAAACACGGUCCAGACUCCUACGGGAGGCAGCAGUGGG